Molecule: ribosomal RNA, 505 nt
Filed under: uncultured bacterium
Lineage: Bacteria
Description: partial 16S ribosomal RNA
Rfam family: Bacterial small subunit ribosomal RNA
Source: RNAcentral
GACGAACGCUGGCGGCGUGCCUAAUACAUGCAAGUAGAACGCACAGUUUAUACCGUAGCUUGCUACACCAUAGACUGUGAGUUGCGAACGGGUGAGUAACGCGUAGGUAACCUGCCUGGUAGCGGGGGAUAACUAUUGGAAACGAUAGCUAAUACCGCAUAAUAUUAAUUAUUGCAUGAUAAUUAAUUGAAAGGUGCAAUUGCACCACUACCAGAUGGACCUGCGUUGUAUUAGCUAGUAGGUGAGGUAACGGCUCACCUAGGCGACGAUACAUAGCCGACCUGAGAGGGUGAUCGGCCACACUGGGACUGAGACACGGUCCAGACUCCUACGGGAGGCAGCAGUAGGGAAUCUUCGGCAAUGGACGAAAGUCUGACCGAGCAACGCCGCGUGAGUGAAGAAGGUUUUCGGAUCGUAAAGCUCUGUUGUAAGAGAAGAACGGGUGUGAGAGUGGAAAGUUCACACUGUGACGGUAUCUUACCAGAAAGGGACGGCUAACUACGCG